CAGCAAGCAAGUUUUAAAAAACAUUCAGGCUUAUGGUUUGUUUUCAGCAGCAAGCUUCACUUAAUGCUUUGCUGAAACAGAGUUCAAAGUGCACAGAGCACCAGACUUGUCACCAAGUCAUUUGUUAGAAUGAGUUGUGUAAGGAUACCCGAUAACCAGGAGGGAGGGAGGAGUUACACAACAUGCAGAUUGUCAGGAGCUGGUCAAAUACAGAUGAUUCAUUUGCACUUUCCUUGUAAAGGAAGUUUUUUUCUGCUUGUGAAAUCAUGACACAUUUCAUGUAAAACGAAAACAUCUACAUAAAAAAGGAGAAGAAGACUCAUCGUUUCCUUCUUGAUCUCAGAUGUGGUGUCAGUAAAAUAACCUUCACUGCCUUCCAGCAGCACACAGAAGGACCCACAACAUACUAUAUAUGUUUGGCAGCAGCAGGCAGAAAGAAAAACAUUCAGGAUAUAUUUAGUGACCGUGAUAUAAAUACGUCAUCAGACAGUAUCGUCUUUCCAUGACGGUCCAGAAAGCUUAGAUGGACUGGCAGCUGAAGCAGAAAAACAACAAAAACAGUGGUACAGUUGUAGAAAUGCAGAGGACAUAAAUCAAGAGAUGGUGAAGUUUGAUGCUGGUGUGAAAGUGAUGUUUUUUUGGAGAGGAUGUAGACGGACUGCUAACAAAAAUGCACACUCGGAUUUAAGCUGGAGAUCAUACUGCAUUUUGAAGACUUUCUAAAUGACCUAGAUCUAUGACUUUACGCCAAACAUCUAUGUGGUCUAGGCAAAAACAGCUCGAAGACCUUUGAGGUGUCUUUGAAAACGGUCUGGGGUCUCUUUCUUUGGCCUUCAGUUCAAAUGCAGACAGAUGUCUGGUUUGUAUUUUAGCUUCUCUUUUCUUUCAAGUUCAUUUCAUUUUACUGUCCUUUCAUAAAGCCACUGUAAUUUAUUUCCCCCCUCUUUAACUUUCCAUUUAGUCACAUUUUGUCAAGUUAGUCUGAAAGCGUUGCUGGUCUCUCACUAACCAGAUUCCACCACACGAUUUCAGAGGGGAAUUUCCAAAGUUAGUCUUUUUGGAACAUAAUUCCCUAGUUGUAUAAUUAUUCUGCUGCAGACGUUCAGGAAGGAAACAAAGGGUGGAGGGUGGGGGUAGAUUUUAUACUGGAAAUACUGGAAAAACAAUAACUUUGGAAGAAUUUCACAUAAUUUCAAACACGAGCUCCUAGAAGUUUGAAUUUUCUUCGAAUAAACUUUACAGUAUAUUGUACACAAAUGCCAGCAGACUUGAUCCACAAUUUUUGCCUUGCAGGAAAAGAAUCUUUGUGGGGUCUCUAUGAGAAAAAACAAUUAUUACAGCAACCGAAAAUUGCUCCAAUAUAGACUUACUAGCCACUUCAAGUACACCUUGCUAGUACUGGGCUGCAAACCUGUUUUGCCUUCUGAAGUGUCUUCAUUCUUCCUUCUUGCACUGCAGGAAGCAGGCAUAAGAAGAUGUGCACACUGUGGUCAUAAAGGGAUGGACAAGAGAAGCAACAACACGCAGGCAGGCUGUGGUGUUUAAAUGAUGCCCAGUUGGUAUAUCCUCCACACCAUUACAUCACCACCAGACCAUUCUCUGUAAAGUCAAAAGACGACUAUGUGGGAAAAUCCCAGCAGAUCAGCAGUACUCAGACCAGCUCGUCUGACAACAACAACAUUCAAAGUCAUGUAAAUCACCUUUCUUAUAAUGCUGAGGAUCAGUUUGAACUUCACUCGGUCAUCUGAACCACGUCUACACAUACAGACCAUGAUGUAGUUGAAUGUUGAAUGUGAUUAUUCCUUUAAUGUAGAAAUAUCCUGUUGUGUAAUUAGGAAGUGAGCACAAAGGUUGGGAGUUCACUUUUGUCUCUUCUUUUUUAAAUCUGUGGGUGAGUAGAUGGUAAAUAUUUGUCUCUCUCCCUCUCUCCUCUUCUCCCCCAUAUAUGUAAUUUAAAAUCAUCACAUACAUUGACAAUGUAUGUGAUUCUGUUUGUUUUUGGUUUGUUUUGUUUUGUGCUAAUAAUGAAUAAGAACUGUUGAAUAUCAAAAAAAAGAGAGAAAUAUCCUGUUGUAACAUAUUUCUUGUGUUCACGGAAAAUCCUUUGUGUUACACUGUGAUACAAGUUUAGGAGUGUGUUGUUUUUUUUGCUGCGGAUCACAGUUUAACAAUGAGUGACCUAGUUAGUUCCUGGCGAUUUGUCAUCCAGGCCACACAUCUAGUGGGAGAUCUGAUGCUUCUGUUACUUCUGCUUUAACGUGAUUAGAACAAACUGUUUUCAGUCACUUUGAAUAAAAAGGUUUCAGUGAGGUUUCA
Oreochromis aureus is the source of this 2316-nucleotide long non-coding RNA. RefSeq lists it as uncharacterized. Lineage: Eukaryota; Metazoa; Chordata; Actinopteri; Cichliformes; Cichlidae. The record is from RefSeq and is a predicted model, not a curated record. The transcript has 2 exons.